Molecule: ribosomal RNA, 435 nt
Filed under: uncultured bacterium
Lineage: Bacteria
Description: partial 16S ribosomal RNA
Rfam family: Bacterial small subunit ribosomal RNA
Source: RNAcentral
AGCGAACGCUGGCGGCAGGCUUAACACAUGCAAGCCGAACGGGCUUCUUCGGAAGUCAGUGGCAGACGGGUGAGUAACACGUGGGAACGUGCCCUUCGGUUCGGAAUAACUCAGGGAAACUUGAGCUAAUACCGGAUACGCCCUUUUGGGGAAAGGUUUACUGCCGAAGGAUCGGCCCGCGUCUGAUUAGCUUGUUGGUGGGGUAACGGCCUACCAAGGCGACGAUCAGUAGCUGGUCUGAGAGGAUGAUCAGCCACACUGGGACUGAGACACGGCCCAGACUCCUACGGGAGGCAGCAGUGGGGAAUAUUGGACAAUGGGCGCAAGCCUGAUCCAGCCAUGCCGCGUGAGUGAUGAAGGCCUUAGGGUUGUAAAGCUCUUUUGUCCGGGACGAUAAUGACGGUACCGGAAGAAUAAGCCCCGGCUAACUUCGUG